UACGUAGGUCCCGAGCGUUGUCUGGAUUUAUUGGGCGUAAAGCGAGCGCAGGCGGUUUGAUAAGUCAGAAGUAAAAGGCUGUGGCUCAACCAUAGUACGCUUUUGAAACUGUCAAACUUGAGUGCAGAAGGGGGGAGUGGAAUUCCAUGUGUAGCGGUGAAAUGCGUAGAUAUAUGGAGGAACACCGGUGGCGAAAGCGGCUCUCUGGUCUGUAACUGACGCUGAGGCUCGAAAGCGUGGGGAGCGAACAGG
Molecule: ribosomal RNA, 252 nt
Filed under: uncultured bacterium
Lineage: Bacteria
Description: partial 16S ribosomal RNA
Rfam family: Bacterial small subunit ribosomal RNA
Source: RNAcentral